This is a non-coding RNA of Rhizobium sp. 58, 79 nucleotides long. NCBI's taxonomy places the organism in Bacteria, Pseudomonadati, Pseudomonadota, Alphaproteobacteria, Hyphomicrobiales, Rhizobiaceae. The record is from Rfam.
CCGAUGGGGUCUGCGAAUGCCCCACGAGGCGUCAUGCCGGAAUUUCGCGUCCAGUCUCAAAAGUAGGACGUAAAUCAUG